RNAcentral lists this long non-coding RNA (2610 nucleotides) under Brassica napus (rape). RNAcentral describes it as "long non-coding RNA (BNAP_LNC018258)". Lineage: Eukaryota; Viridiplantae; Streptophyta; Magnoliopsida; Brassicales; Brassicaceae. The record is from RNAcentral.
CUCUUGCGGACAGCAGUCAAUCUCUAUUAUUUGCAGAAAAGCUUAACAUAUUAGAGGUAUAUUUGUAAUUCAAUACCAAAGUCAUUUACCUAACAAAAGAUGAAGAAAAAUAAAGUCAUUCACCUAAUUAAUGAAAAACUAGAUUUAACCCGCCCAGGUAUAUUUUUCGUUUUAAUUUUCUUCCGAGAAACUUAAUUUUUAUAUAUAUAAACACAAAAACUUGAAAGAAUCGAUCCGUACCAAAAUAGAUAUCAGAAUACUUAUGUUUAAUUUCAACUAAAUCAACGUGUAGUAAUUGCUAAUAGUUAUAUUUAAUUGUCAAUUGAAAAUAUUUUUUAUUAGAAUAUCCAAAAUCACAAAUAAAUUAAAAUAUUCUUAAAGUUAUUAAAUAUUUAAAUCAGUGCAUAUAACCAUCUAAAAUAUAUAUAUCAAACAUAUUUGACAAUAUAUAAACAGUUCAUUAAAACCCAUUAAAAAUUGAAUAACAUUGGGCUUUUCCAAUUGCACACAUGGAUGAAUUAUAUGGAACAUGUCAUACAUGGUCAUAUUCCUUAUAAAGUAUAUUAACAUAUUUUUUUGGCGAAAUAUGUUACGGGGAUUAUAAUCGAACAUGUCAUCAUUUUUGUUACAUGCUCAAAUAUAUUAUAUAAACAUGGAUUUUAAUUAGUUAAGAUAAGAGUAGUGGAUCCCUACAAUAUAGGAAUAAAAAAGUGGUUUUGAUUGGCUAAAAAAGGAGAGGUUAUGAUAUACUAUGUUGCAUGGAAACUCGGUUGAAGGUCCAUUUCACGUUUCGGAAACGUUUCGGAAUCGGAAUCUCUCAGAAACUCGCGGAAACACAUUGGAAACUCGUUUCUUAAAAAUCUAAAUUUGGAAACUUAGUGGAAACUUGCGUUUCUAUUUUGGAAACUUGUGUUUAUGUUCUGGAAACGCUAGAACUUUCCAAUUGGUUAUGACUUAGUGUUAUGAUUUUUAUUUUAGUUAAACUAUUUAAUAUUUAAAUAUUGGAUUUUUGUUAUUUUGAAAAUUUUAUAUGAUUUUGAUGUUUAAUGAUGACUUAUUUUAUUUUCGUAUGAUUAAACAGAAUUACUAUUUGUUUAUUUGUAUUCUAAGAUAUACUAAACAUAAUAAAAAUAAAUGCAAAUAUUAAUAAGUUACAUAUAUAUAUAUAUAUUUUUUUAUAGACGUUUCUAAAACGUUUCCACAACAAAAAAAAAUCAAAAUUUACGUUUCCACAUUUCGAAACGUUUCAUUUCCGCGUAUCCGUUUCCGUUUCCAUUUCCAUGCAACCUAGAUGAUAUAUAAGGUUUCGUAUUACUUUUGUAUUUUGUUGAAUAAUGCAGUUAUUUUAAAAGUAAAUUCAGUUUAGUCCAAAGCUCCAUCCGGCUAGGCCAAACGAGAAAGGAAGCCACAUUUAUUAGGCUUGGAAAGAGAACCUAACAAGCCGAAGCAAAAAAGCGGGCCGAGAGGGAGGCUACACCAAGAACGUGGCUUCAGCACCUGCAAAGAAGAAAAGUAACAGCCUGCGAACAAGACCAAGGGACCUUCUUCGCACUGGGAUGACCGAGACUCAAGCAAGACGCCACAUCACCGGAACGAACCAACUGACCCAAUUUGAACUCUCCGGAUGAUCCUUGCUCUGGUACAGAGAACCUGCACCAGACUACUUUGCGCUUCAAGAUAAACCCCGCCUUGGAGAGAGGAGUAGAAACCCGAAGCGGAACUGAUAGCUUCGACCACGAGCCAAAGUAAACCACGGCUGGCGAAGUGAAGCCGGCAAGACAAAGGAAGAGCAGCCACCGGAAGGAAAAGAGUACAGCCAUAGACGACAGGACUCGGAACUUCAAACCCUAGCUGCACACGCCAAGACCAUAGAAGCGUAGAGACCACACAGCCACUGCACCACUACGCACGUGCCGGCCAGAACCUAAACCGCCUUCCCUGAACGAGAAUCACUCUUUUGACCAACGGCAAGACCCCAAGCCGCAGUGAAAGGAGGCCUCUUAACACCACUCCAUGACGAAGGACAAUCUUCGAAUAAUACACUGAGAAAAAGGAGGAGAGAGCCCGACGAAACUCCACGCGCCUCCAACCCGAAAGCUUCCGGAGAGAUCUACAAAUUAAAACUGAGAACCCUCCGAAGCCAAACCCAAAAAUCCGACUCCGCCUACCCACGCCGUCACCGCCUCACCAGAACUACAGAGCGAAGACAGCCAGCCACGGAUCCAAACCUCCCCGGAGCAGAUCUAGAAACCCCGUGGCGGAGCUCUUUCCACAGCACUAAGUAUCUCGACGGAUGAGAGGGAAAGGGCAAAACGGAGCAAACAACAAAGAGGGAGAGGAGAGGAGUAAGCCUCCGACGACCACGCGCCCGAAGGACGGCCGUCGGAGCAGAUCGGAGCAGCUUGGAGAAGAGAAAGGUUGUGGCUUUUUGUUUUAAGAGAGAGAAAACCUCCGGAAAACAAUAUAUCAAUAAAAUUCAAUGCCAAAAAACCUCCGGUAUAUUUUUUGUUUUACAUUUUCUUUAGAAAUUUAAUUUUUAUAUUUGUGUUUUUGUUAUAAAAAAAACUUGAAUUUAUUUGUAUCGCAGGAAUUUAAAUAAGAGCAAAAGUU